This 253-nucleotide ribosomal RNA is filed under the name uncultured bacterium. RNAcentral describes it as "partial 16S ribosomal RNA". It matches the Rfam family "Bacterial small subunit ribosomal RNA", at positions 524 to 776 of the family's 1533-position model. The record is from RNAcentral.
UACGUAGGGUGCGAGCGUUAAUCGGAAUUACUGGGCGUAAAGCGUGCGCAGGCGGUGAGCUGUGUCCGAUGUGAAAGCCCCGGGCUUAACCUGGGAAUGGCAUUGGAAACUGGCUCGCUGGAGUGUGGCAGAGGGGGGUGGAAUUCCGCGUGUAGCAGUGAAAUGCGCAGAGAUGCGGAGGAACACCGAUGGCGAAGGCAGCCCCCUGGGCUAACACUGACGCUCAGGCACGAAAGCGUGGGGAGCAAACAGG